GACGAACGCUGGCGGCGUGCUUAACACAUGCAAGUCGAACGGUGAUGCUCCAACUUGCUGGAGUGGAUCAGUGGCGAACGGGUGAGUAACACGUGAGCAACCUGCCCCAGACUCUGGAAUAAGCGCUGGAAACGGCGUCUAAUACUGGAUACGAAACUGGCCCGCAUGGGCAUGGUUUGGAAAGUUUUUCGGUUUGGGAUGGGCUCGCGGCCUAUCAGCUUGUUGGUGAGGUAAUGGCUCACCAAGGCGACGACGGGUAGCCGGCCUGAGAGGGCGACCGGCCACACUGGGACUGAGACACGGCCCAGACUCCUACGGGAGGCAGCAGUGGGGAAUAUUGCACAAUGGGCGAAAGCCUGAUGCAGCGACGCCGCGUGAGGGAUGACGGCCUUCGGGUUGUAAACCUCUUUCAGCAGGGAAGAAGCGAAAGUGACGGUACCUGCAGAAGAAGCACCGGCUAACUACGUG
Molecule: ribosomal RNA, 468 nt
Filed under: uncultured bacterium
Lineage: Bacteria
Description: partial 16S ribosomal RNA
Rfam family: Bacterial small subunit ribosomal RNA
Source: RNAcentral